CCCGAGCCAGAGGCUGAGCCCCAGCUGGAGGCCGAGGGGAAGUGGGUCCUUUGCAACUAUGACUUCCAGGCCCGCAACAGCAGCGAGCUGUCAGUCCAGAAGCAGGACGUGCUGGAGGUCCUGGAUGACCGGCGCAAGUGGUGGAAGGUUCGGGACCCGCGAGGCCAGGAGGGAUACGUGCCGUAUAACAUCUUGACGCCCCACCCGGGGCCGGGGCCAAGCCGCAGCCUGGAAGACCGCGCUCCUCCACCCCCGCCGGCCCCAGCUCCUGCCUCCCCGCGGCCCCGCUGGGACAGCAGCGACAGCCUCAACUUGGACCCCCGAG
Long non-coding RNA from Suricata suricatta (meerkat), 325 nucleotides. RefSeq lists it as uncharacterized. Lineage: Eukaryota; Metazoa; Chordata; Mammalia; Carnivora; Herpestidae. The transcript has 3 exons. The record is from RefSeq and is a predicted model, not a curated record.